This 253-nucleotide ribosomal RNA is filed under the name uncultured bacterium. RNAcentral's name for it is "partial 16S ribosomal RNA". It matches the Rfam family "Bacterial small subunit ribosomal RNA", at positions 524 to 776 of the family's 1533-position model. The record is from RNAcentral.
UACGAAGGGGGCUAGCGUUGUUCGGAUUUACUGGGCGUAAAGCGCACGUAGGCGGAUCGUUAAGUCGGGGGUGAAAUCCUGGAGCUCAACUCCAGAACUGCCUUCGAUACUGGCGAUCUUGAGUCCGGAAGAGGUGAGUGGAACUCCUAGUGUAAAGGUGGAAUUCGUAGAUAUUAGGAAGAACACCAGUGGCGAAGGCGGCUCACUGGUCCGGUACUGACGCUGAGGUGCGAAAGCGUGGGGAGCAAACAGG